AGUUUGAUCCUGGCUCAGAUUGAACGCUGGCGGCAUGCUUUACACAUGCAAGUCGAACGGUAACAGGGAGCUUGCUCCGCUGACGAGUGGCGAACGGGUGAGUAAUAUAUCGGAACGUACCUAGAAGUGGGGGAUAACGUAGCGAAAGUUACGCUAAUACCGCAUACGAUCCACGGAUGAAAGUAGGGGACCUUCGGGCCUUAUGCUUUUAGAGCGGCCGAUAUCUGAUUAGCUAGUUGGUGAGGUAAAGGCUCACCAAGGCGACGAUCAGUAGCUGGUCUGAGAGGACGACCAGCCACACUGGAACUGAGACACGGUCCAGACUCCUACGGGAGGCAGCAGUGGGGAAUUUUGGACAAUGGGCGCAAGCCUGAUCCAGCAAUGCCGCGUGAGUGAAGAAGGCCUUCGGGUUGUAAAGCUCUUUUGUCAGGGAAGAAACGGUGGAGGCUAAUAUCCUUUGCUAAUGACGGUACCUGAAGAAUAAGCACCGGCUAACUACGUG
This 502-nucleotide ribosomal RNA is filed under the name uncultured Massilia sp. RNAcentral's name for it is "bacterial SSU rRNA". It matches the Rfam family "Bacterial small subunit ribosomal RNA", at positions 10 to 507 of the family's 1533-position model. The record is from RNAcentral. Lineage: Bacteria; Pseudomonadati; Pseudomonadota; Betaproteobacteria; Burkholderiales; Oxalobacteraceae.